Molecule: long non-coding RNA, 958 nt
Filed under: Lactuca sativa (garden lettuce)
Lineage: Eukaryota; Viridiplantae; Streptophyta; Magnoliopsida; Asterales; Asteraceae
Description: long non-coding RNA (LSAT_LNC010056)
Source: RNAcentral
ACACCAUGUUGACCAAUGACCUAUAUGUCAUCCAUGAACACCAUAAGCAAAUACACCAUGUUGACUAAUGACCCAUAUGUUAUCAAUGGACACCAUAAGCAACUACACCAUGUUGACCAAUGACCCAUAUGUCAUCCAUGGACAUCAUAAGCAACUACACCUUGUUGACCAAUUACCCAUAUGUCAUCCAUGGACACCAUAAGCAACUGCCAUGUUGACCCAUAUUUCAUCCACGGACAACAUGAGCAACUACACACCAUGUUGACCAAUGACCCAUAUGUCAUCCUUGGAGACCACAAGCAAAUACACCAUGUUGACCAAUGACCCAUAUGUCAUCAAUGGACACAACAAGCAACUAAACCAUGUUGACCAAUGAACCAUAUGUCAUCCAUGGACACCAUAAGCAAAUACACCUUGUUGCCCAGUGACCCAUAUGUCAUCAAUGGACACCAUAAGCAACUACACCAUGUUGACCAAUGACCCAUAUGUCAUCCAUGGACAUCAUAAGCAACUACACCUUGUUGACCAAUGACCCAUAUGUCAACCAUGGACACCAUAAGCAACUACCACGUUGACCAAUAACCUAAAUAUCAUCCAUGGACAUCAUAAGUAACUACACCAUGUUAACCAAUAACCCUUAUGUCAUCCAUGGACACAGUAAGCAACUACCUUGUUGACCAAUUACCCAUAUGUCAUCCAUGGACACAAAAACCAAUUACACCAAGUUUACUAAUUACCCAUAUGUCAGACACCAUAAGCAACUACAUGUUGACCAAUGACCUAUAUGUCAUCAAUGGACACCAUAAUCAACUACACCAUGUUGACCAAUGACCCAUAUGUCAUUCAUGGACACCAUAAGAAACUACACCAUGUUGACCGAUGACCCAUAUGUUAUCCAUGGACACCAUAAGCAACUACACCUUGUUGACCAAUGACCCAUAUGUCAUUCAUGGACACC